AAUCUUCAUGCAGGUCAACUUCAAGACAACUGGGUGUCAAGAGCAAGGAAGAAGACGGCCUAUGAAGUGAAUUUAACAUACAAUGAUUAAAGGAAGUGCUACACUCUGCUGCCUCCUGCAAGUAGCACGUUGAAGACAGCUAAAGUCGUUCAAAAACCUGGAAAGAAUUACUAAGAUCCAUAAGAGUUGACAAGAACGUGGAAGACUCCCAUAACCACCUAACCGCAUCCUGUGCGAGCCGCAUAAGAUGGUUUCUGGAGCUACUGUACAAACAGGUCUAGAGCUUGGCAAAAACCAGCCAUAGAAGCUGUGAGAAGACAGACUUCAAGUCAUUUUUAUAGGCAGACCUGGAUCAACACAGCUUGAGAAGUAGGAACUUAUCAAAGCUCUUAUGUGGAAGAAACUUAGAUGACCACCUGCACUGACCUGUCCUG
Molecule: long non-coding RNA, 434 nt
Filed under: Homo sapiens (human)
Lineage: Eukaryota; Metazoa; Chordata; Mammalia; Primates; Hominidae
Description: HSALNT0144775
Source: RNAcentral